UGCAUGUUCGCCAUAUCAGUACUCAGAAGGU
Molecule: non-coding RNA, 31 nt
Filed under: Rattus norvegicus (Norway rat)
Lineage: Eukaryota; Metazoa; Chordata; Mammalia; Rodentia; Muridae
Source: RNAcentral